RNAcentral lists this ribosomal RNA (227 nucleotides) under uncultured bacterium. Its description in RNAcentral is "partial 16S ribosomal RNA". It matches the Rfam family "Bacterial small subunit ribosomal RNA", at positions 523 to 747 of the family's 1533-position model. The record is from RNAcentral.
UAGCGUAGGGGGCAAGCUGUUGUCCGGAUUUAUUGGGCGUAAAGAGCGUGUAGGCGGCCGUACAGGUCAGCUGUGAAAACUCGAGGCUCAACCUCGAGACGUCGGUUGAAACCGUAACGGCUAGAGUCCGGAAGAGGAGAGUGGAAUUCCCGGUGUAGCGGUGAAAUGCGCAGAUAUCAGGAGGAACACCGAUGGCGAAGGCAGGUCACUGGGCCGCAACUGACGCU